GUGGGGAAUAUUGCACAAUGGAGGAAACUCUGAUGCAGCGACGCCGCGUGAACGAUGAAGGCCUUCGGGUCGUAAAGUUCUGUCCUUGGGGACGAUAAUGACGGUACCCAAGGAGGAAGCCCCGGCUAACUACGUGCCAGCAGCCGCGGUAAUACGUAGGGGGCGAGCGUUGUCCGGAAUUAUUGGGCGUAAAGGGUUCGUAGGCGGUUAUUUAAGUCAGGUGUGAAAGGCAUAGGCUCAACCUGUGUAAGCACUUGAAACUGAAUGACUUGAGUUAAGGAGAGGAAAGUGGAAUUCCUAGUGUAGCGGUGAAAUGCGUAGAUAUUAGGAGGAAUACCAGUGGCGAAGGCGACUUUCUGGACUUAUACUGACGCUGAGGAACGAAAGCGUGGGGAGCAAACAGGAUUAGAAACCCUAGUAGUCC
Molecule: ribosomal RNA, 424 nt
Filed under: uncultured bacterium
Lineage: Bacteria
Description: bacterial SSU rRNA
Rfam family: Bacterial small subunit ribosomal RNA
Source: RNAcentral